UUCCACUGGGAAAGAGCAAGUCCUGGCGGA
Molecule: non-coding RNA, 30 nt
Filed under: Homo sapiens (human)
Lineage: Eukaryota; Metazoa; Chordata; Mammalia; Primates; Hominidae
Source: RNAcentral